GACGUAGGGCGCGAGCGUUGUCCGGAUUUAUUGGGCGUAAAGAGCUCGUAGGCGGUUUGUCGCGUCGACUGUGAAAACCUACAGCUUAACUGUGGGCUUGCAGUCGAUACGGGCAGACUAGAAUUCGGUAGGGGAGACUGGAAUUCCGUGGUGUAGCGUGAAAUGCGCAGGAUAAUCAGGAAGAACACCGGUGGCGAAGGCGGGUCGCUGGGCAGU
RNAcentral lists this ribosomal RNA (216 nucleotides) under uncultured bacterium. RNAcentral describes it as "partial 16S ribosomal RNA". It matches the Rfam family "Bacterial small subunit ribosomal RNA", at positions 524 to 737 of the family's 1533-position model. The record is from RNAcentral.